CGUAGGGUCCAAGCGUUAAUCGGAAUUACUGGGCGUAAAGCGUGCGCAGGCGGUUGUGUAAGCCAGAUGCGAAAUCCCCGGGCUUAACCUGGGAAUGGCAUUUGGGACUGCACGGCUAGAGUACGGCAGAGGAGACUAGAAUUCCUGGUGUAGCAGUGAAAUGCGUAGAUAUCAGGAGGAAUACCGAUGGCGAAGGCAGGUCUCUGGGUCGAUACUGACGCUCAUGCACGAAAGCGUGGGGAGCAAACAGGAUUAGAUACCCUGGUAGUCCACGCCCUAAACGAUGUCAACUGGUUGUUGGGGAAUUGAUUUCCUUAGUAACGAAGCUAACGCGUGAAGUUGACCGCCUGGGGAGUACGGUCGCAAGAUUA
This 371-nucleotide ribosomal RNA is filed under the name uncultured organism. Its description in RNAcentral is "bacterial SSU rRNA". It matches the Rfam family "Bacterial small subunit ribosomal RNA", at positions 526 to 896 of the family's 1533-position model. The record is from RNAcentral.